This 45-nucleotide non-coding RNA is filed under the name Schistosoma margrebowiei. The record is from RNAcentral. Lineage: Eukaryota; Metazoa; Platyhelminthes; Trematoda; Strigeidida; Schistosomatidae.
AUUUAACUGACAAGUCCCAAAUAGGACAAAACGCGUGUUGUAGAU